GGGGAUGUAGCUCAGAUGGUAGAGCGAUCGCUUCGCAUGCGAUAGGUAAGGGGAUCGAUGCCCCUCAUCUCCA
This is a transfer RNA of Selaginella moellendorffii, 73 nucleotides long. It matches the Rfam family "tRNA". Rfam says of the family: Transfer RNA (tRNA) molecules are approximately 80 nucleotides in length. Their secondary structure includes four short double-helical elements and three loops (D, anti-codon, and T loops). NCBI's taxonomy places the organism in Eukaryota, Viridiplantae, Streptophyta, Lycopodiopsida, Selaginellales, Selaginellaceae. The record is from Rfam.